Molecule: unclassified non-coding RNA, 281 nt
Filed under: Ascomycota sp.
Lineage: Eukaryota; Fungi; Ascomycota
Description: partial contains 5.8S ribosomal RNA, internal transcribed spacer 2, and large subunit ribosomal RNA
Rfam family: 5.8S ribosomal RNA (bases 1-71)
Source: RNAcentral
GUGAGUCAUCGAAUCUUUGAACGCACAUUGCGCCCGCCAGCAUUCUGGCGGGCAUGCCUGUUCGAGCGUCAUUUCAACCCUCAGGCCCUGCCUGGCGUUGGAGGACUGCGCACGCAGCCUCCCAAAGCGAGCGGCGGCGGCGCCCCGAAACCGAACGCAGUAGUUACCUCUCGUUCUGGGUCCGGGUCGUUGUCCUGCCGGAAAACCCCCAUCUCAUCAAUGGUUGACCUCGAAUCAGGUAGGAAUACCCGCUGAACUUAAGCAUAUCAAUAAGCGGAGGA